AAUUGUAGUUGCCCUCCAUUUGUUGAAGCUUUUGUUGGUGAAACUUUUAUGGUGAAGCUUUGUAGGUGAAACUUUGUAGUGAAGCUUUGAUGGGUACCAUGAAUUGAUUUUGCUUCACACUAUCUUGAUCAAGAGUGUGUGAAGCUUUUGGCAUUUGUAGUUGCCCUCCAUUUGUUGAAGUUGUUGAAUUUCCCAAUUUCCUUUUUUUUUUUUUGCUAAAACUAGAAAUUUGUUGAAUUUCCUUUUUUUUUUUUUGGGAAUACUAGAAAUUUGAAAAUGUGGGAGAGACAAACAUAUACAAAUUUUGCUUACACACUGUUGAGCAAGAGAUUGUGAAGCAAGCCAAAUCUUGUAGUAGUCGAAGGUUUGGAUGAAUCAUAUAAAUUGAAUUUGCUUCGAACAGUCUUGAUCAAGAGUGUGUGAAGCUUUCUACGAGUUGUAGUGUUUGCAUUGUUACAGAGAAGAAAUGUCUGAAGCAGAUGCAAGAGGGCUGAAGAGCUUGAUCUUCGUAUACUAUGCACUGAAGUCGUUGUUGGCUUGCAAUAAGACGUUGUUGGCUUG
This 561-nucleotide long non-coding RNA is filed under the name Malus domestica (apple). Its description in RNAcentral is "long non-coding RNA (MDOM_LNC013657)". Lineage: Eukaryota; Viridiplantae; Streptophyta; Magnoliopsida; Rosales; Rosaceae. The record is from RNAcentral.